RNAcentral lists this long non-coding RNA (264 nucleotides) under Brassica napus (rape). Its description in RNAcentral is "long non-coding RNA (BNAP_LNC016672)". Lineage: Eukaryota; Viridiplantae; Streptophyta; Magnoliopsida; Brassicales; Brassicaceae. The record is from RNAcentral.
UUUAUCCUUUUAAAGUAAUACUUGAUCAAUAUCAUUUUAAAAAUAGACUAAAUUAAUUUUCUAUUUGCUAAGAGAUGAUUAUUGAUGUUUGCUAAGAAAUGAUUAUUGAUGUGGAGAUGAUAUUCGAGGAAGGAAAAUAAGAAGCUCAAUUUAAAGACGAUUCACAAUUCAUAAGCAAAAAGAAAAAAAAAGUGUGGUGAUAACCAGAAACGAGGACUUAUAUUUUCUCUCGAGAUCAAACCAAACCUCAGAUUGUUUUUUUUU